CGCGGGGUGGAGCAGCUCGGUAGCUCGCUGGGCUCAUAACCCAGAGGUCGCAGGUUCAAAUCCUGCUCCCGCUA
This 74-nucleotide transfer RNA is filed under the name Streptomyces olivochromogenes. Its description in RNAcentral is "tRNA-Met". It matches the Rfam family "tRNA". Rfam says of the family: Transfer RNA (tRNA) molecules are approximately 80 nucleotides in length. Their secondary structure includes four short double-helical elements and three loops (D, anti-codon, and T loops). Lineage: Bacteria; Bacillati; Actinomycetota; Actinomycetes; Kitasatosporales; Streptomycetaceae. RNAcentral also lists the same sequence under 12 other names. The record is from RNAcentral.